CGGACGGGUGAGUAACGCGUGAGAAUGUACCUUCAGGAUGGGGAUAACAAUAGGAAACUAAUGCUAAGACCCAAUGUGCCUUAAGAGGUGAAAAAUGAAAAUUGCCUGAAGAAGAGCUCGCGUCUGAUUAGCUAGUUGGGGUGGUAAAAGCGCACCAAGGCAACGAUCAGUAGCUGGUCUGAGAGGAUGAGCAGCCACACUGGGACUGAGACACGGCCCAGACUCCUACGGGAGGCAGCAGUGGGGAAUUUUCCGCAAUGGGCGAAAGCCUGACGGAGCAAUACCGCGUGAGGGAGGAAGGCUCUUGGGUUGUAAACCUCAAAAAUUAGGGAAGAAAAAAAUGACGGUACCUAACAUAAGCAUCGGCUAACUCCGUGCCAGCAGCCGCGGUAAUACGGAGGAUGCAAGCGUUAUCCGGAAUCAUUGGGCGUAAAGAGUCCGUAGGUGGCCAAGAAAGUCCAAGGUCAAAGACCAGAGCUUAACUCUGGAAAGGCAGUGGAAACUAAAGAGCUAGAGUUCGGGAGGGGUAGAGGGAAUUCCCAGUGUAGCGGUGAAAUGCGUAGAGAUUGGGAAGAACACCAGUGGCGAAGGCGCUCUACUGGACCGAAACUGACACUGAGGGACGAAAGCUAAGGUAGCGAAUGGGAUUAGAUACCCCAGUAGUC
Molecule: ribosomal RNA, 665 nt
Filed under: uncultured cyanobacterium
Lineage: Bacteria; Bacillati; Cyanobacteriota
Description: bacterial SSU rRNA
Rfam family: Bacterial small subunit ribosomal RNA
Source: RNAcentral